GUCAGAAACCCCACGCCUAAAGGCGGGGGCUUGAAAAAAGCCUUAAUCUGACCAGCUUAAGUACUUUGAGUACUACGUUAGAGACAAGAGUUUAAGACCUACCAAGGGAUGAGAGUGCUAGUUCCUUGCUCUAGAACCAAACGAUUAAACAGGCUUAAAGGGUUAAACCAGUGUCGUUUGGAUAGUUACCGACCUCUAACAUUAGCGAAGCUAACAUCAC
Non-coding RNA from Scytonema millei VB511283, 220 nucleotides. Lineage: Bacteria; Bacillati; Cyanobacteriota; Cyanophyceae; Nostocales; Scytonemataceae. The record is from Rfam.